RNAcentral lists this ribosomal RNA (253 nucleotides) under uncultured bacterium. RNAcentral describes it as "partial 16S ribosomal RNA". It matches the Rfam family "Bacterial small subunit ribosomal RNA", at positions 524 to 776 of the family's 1533-position model. The record is from RNAcentral.
UACGUAGGGCGCAAGCGUUGUCCGGAAUUAUUGGGCGUAAAGAGCUCGUAGGUGGUUUGUCGCGUCUGUUGUGAAAGCCCGGGGCUUAACUCCGGGUUUGCAGUGGAUACGGGCAGGCUAGAGGCAGGUAGGGGAGAACGGAAUUCCCGGUGUAGCGGUGAAAUGCGCAGAUAUCGGGAGGAACCCCGGUGGCGAAGGCGGUUCUCUGGGCCUGUACUGACGCUGAGGAGCGAAAGCGUGGGGAGCGAACAGG